This 803-nucleotide long non-coding RNA is filed under the name Triticum aestivum (bread wheat). Its description in RNAcentral is "long non-coding RNA (TAES_LNC019838)". Lineage: Eukaryota; Viridiplantae; Streptophyta; Magnoliopsida; Poales; Poaceae. The record is from RNAcentral.
GCAAAGGUUACUUAUAAACGGCUUUUCCUUAAGCAUUUGAGCAUUUACUAAAGUGUGAUGACUUUGAAGUGCUGCCAAACCAACUGUGAACUAUGAUGAACAAACACCUCCUGCUGAACAUCCAUAGUGCUUGUCCAACGGUUCAUUUUUUGAUGCCUCAGGAAAGAAGGAAAAGGGAGGCGAAACAGAAAACUACCACUACAUAUGAUGAUAGUUCAGACAACAAAGAAGACGCCUCAAAGAAGGUGAAUUCAGAUAUGUUAAAACUAAUUCUGUAAUUAGGGGAAAAUCUCCCCUUGCCCAAACCGUCGUUUCCGCAACCGACGCCUCCCUUCGAUCUCCUGGAACCGACGCCCCCUCGAGGGAUCGUCGUGUCUCUUCGGGACAUAUAAAAGGGGGCCUGUAACCAUCGAUCAAUGGAUUCGAUCAUUCUGAUUCAAAACACGUUAUCACGCACGUAGAACAGCCAGCGAGAGCAAAAGAAACAUCCGAGAAAGGAGAAGAGAGGGAGCACUCGCCGCCGGUGAGAUGCCUAACCUCGUUUCCUUCUUCCUCCGCCUGAUCCGCGAGGAUGGUCGUCGAUACCGUCGUCGCUACCAUGGAGUGGGUGGACUCCGGCGUUUCCGUCGCCGGAUGCAAGCCAUCAGACAGUUCGGCCGCAGCGCCGCUGGAUGCGCCCGUCGCGGUGCUCACCACGCCCCUGGACACGGUUCCCGUGCUCCUGGACGCGCCCACUGCGGUGCUCCCCGCGCCCGUGGCCAGGAGCCCAUGGGGUACGACCCUUGGCUGGUGGCCGGCCCGAG